GAUGAAGAACGUAGCGAAAUGCGAUACGUAAUGUGAAUUGCAGAAUUCAGUGAAUCAUCGAGUCUUUGAACGCACAUUGCGCCCUCUGGUAUUCCGGGGGGUAUGCCUGUCCGAGCGUCAUUGCUGCCCUCAAGCACGGCUUGUGUGUUGGGCCUCCGUCCUCCUCCCGGGGGACGGGCCCGAAAGGCAGCGGCGGCACCGCGUCCGGUCCUCGAGCGUAUGGGGCUUCGUCACCCGCUCUUGUAGGCCCGGCCGGCGCUUGCCGACACAUCAAUCUUUUUUCCAGGUUGACCUCGGAUCAGGUAGGGAUACCCGCUGAACUUAAGCAUAUCAAUAAGCGGAGGA
RNAcentral lists this unclassified non-coding RNA (345 nucleotides) under soil metagenome. Its description in RNAcentral is "partial contains 5.8S ribosomal RNA, internal transcribed spacer 2, and large subunit ribosomal RNA". The stretch from base 1 to 120 matches the Rfam family "5.8S ribosomal RNA", at positions 35 to 154 of the family's 154-position model. The record is from RNAcentral.